AGCCUGAUCAGCCAUGCCGCGUGUGUGAAGAAGGCCUUCGGGUUGUAAAGCACUUUCAGUGAGGAAGAAAGCCUUGAGGUUAAUACCCUCGAGGGAGGACAUCACUCACAGAAGAAGCACCGGCUAACUCCGUGCCAGCAGCCGCGGUAAUACGGAGGGUGCGAGCGUUAAUCGGAAUUACUGGGCGUAAAGCGCGCGUAGGCGGCUUGAUAAGCCGGUUGUGAAAGCCCCGGGCUCAACCUGGGAACGGCAUCCGGAACUGUCAGGCUAGAGUGCAGGAGAGGAAGGUAGAAUUCCCGGUGUAGCGGUGAAAUGCGUAGAGAUCGGGAGGAAUACCAGUGGCGAAGGCGGCCUUCUGGACUGACACUGACGCUGAGGUGCGAAAGCGUGGGUAGCAAACAGGAUUAGAUACCCUGGUAGUCCACGCCGUAAACGAUGUCGACUAGCCGUUGGGCUCCUUGAGAGCUUUGUGGCGCAGUUAACGCGAUAAGUCGACCGCCUGGGGAGUACGGCCGCAAGGUUAAAACUCAAAUGAAUUGACGGGGGCCCGCACAAGCGGUGGAGCAUGUGGUUUAAUUCGAUGCAACGCGAAGAACCUUACCUACCCUUGACAUCGAGAGAACUUUCCAGAGAUGGAUUGGUGCCUUCGGGAGCUCUCAGACAGGUGCUGCAUGGCUGUCGUCAGCUCGUGUUGUGAAAUGUUGGGUUAAGUCCCGUAACGAGCGCAACCCUUGUCCCUAUUUGCCAGCGAUUCGGUCGGGAACUCUAGGGAGACUGCCGGUGACAAACCGGAGGAAGGUGGGGACGACGUCAAGUCAUCAUGGCCCUUACGGGUAGGGCUACACACGUGCUACAAUGGCCGGUACAAUGGGUUGCGAAUCCGCGAGGUGGAGCUAAUCCCAUAAAGCCGGUCUCAGUCCGGAUCGGAGUCUGCAACUCGACUCCGUGAAGUCGGAAUCGCUAGUAAUCGU
This 971-nucleotide ribosomal RNA is filed under the name Halomonas ventosae. Its description in RNAcentral is "bacterial SSU rRNA". It matches the Rfam family "Bacterial small subunit ribosomal RNA", at positions 380 to 1345 of the family's 1533-position model. Lineage: Bacteria; Pseudomonadati; Pseudomonadota; Gammaproteobacteria; Oceanospirillales; Halomonadaceae. The record is from RNAcentral.